GGGUUGUGAGGUUAAGCGACUAAGCGUACACGGUGGAUGCCCUGGCAGUCAGAGGCGAUGAAGGACGUGCUAAUCUGCGAUAAGCGUCGGUAAGGUGAUAUGAACCGUUAUAACCGGCGAUUUCCGAAUGGGGAAACCCAGUGUGUUUCGACACACUAUCAUUAACUGAAUCCAUAGGUUAAUGAGGCGAACCGGGGGAACUGAAACAUCUAAGUACCCCGAGGAAAAGAAAUCAACCGAGAUUCCCCCAGUAGCGGCGAGCGAACGGGGAGCAGCCCAGAGCCUGAAUCAGUGUGUGUGUUAGUGGAAGCGUCUGGAAAGGCGCGCGAUACAGGGUGACAGCCCCGUACACAAAAAUGCACAUGCUGUGAGCUCGAUGAGUAGGGCGGGACACGUGGUAUCCUGUCUGAAUAUGGGGGGACCAUCCUCCAAGGCUAAAUACUCCUGACUGACCGAUAGUGAACCAGUACCGUGAGGGAAAGGCGAAAAGAACCCCGGCGAGGGGAGUGAAAAAGAACCUGAAACCGUGUACGUACAAGCAGUGGGAGCCUCUUUUAUGGGGUGACUGCGUACCUUUUGUAUAAUGGGUCAGCGACUUAUAUUCUGUAGCAAGGUUAACCGAAUAGGGGAGCCGAAGGGAAACCGAGUCUUAACUGGGCGUUAAGUUGCAGGGUAUAGACCCGAAACCCGGUGAUCUAGCCAUGGGCAGGUUGAAGGUUGGGUAACACUAACUGGAGGACCGAACCGACUAAUGUUGAAAAAUUAGCGGAUGACUUGUGGCUGGGGGUGAAAGGCCAAUCAAACCGGGAGAUAGCUGGUUCUCCCCGAAAGCUAUUUAGGUAGCGCCUCGUGAAUUCAUCUCCGGGGGUAGAGCACUGUUUCGGCAAGGGGGUCAUCCCGACUUACCAACCCGAUGCAAACUGCGAAUACCGGAGAAUGUUAUCACGGGAGACACACGGCGGGUGCUAACGUCCGUCGUGAAGAGGGAAACAACCCAGACCGCCAGCUAAGGUCCCAAAGUCAUGGUUAAGUGGGAAACGAUGUGGGAAGGCCCAGACAGCCAGGAUGUUGGCUUAGAAGCAGCCAUCAUUUAAAGAAAGCGUAAUAGCUCACUGGUCGAGUCGGCCUGCGCGGAAGAUGUAACGGGGCUAAACCAUGCACCGAAGCUGCGGCAGCGACGCUUAUGCGUUGUUGGGUAGGGGAGCGUUCUGUAAGCCUGUGAAGGUGUGCUGUGAGGCAUGCUGGAGGUAUCAGAAGUGCGAAUGCUGACAUAAGUAACGAUAAAGCGGGUGAAAAGCCCGCUCGCCGGAAGACCAAGGGUUCCUGUCCAACGUUAAUCGGGGCAGGGUGAGUCGACCCCUAAGGCGAGGCCGAAAGGCGUAGUCGAUGGGAAACAGGUUAAUAUUCCUGUACUUGGUGUUACUGCGAAGGGGGGACGGAGAAGGCUAUGUUGGCCGGGCGACGGUUGUCCCGGUUUAAGCGUGUAGGCUGGUUUUCCAGGCAAAUCCGGAAAAUCAAGGCUGAGGCGUGAUGACGAGGCACUACGGUGCUGAAGCAACAAAUGCCCUGCUUCCAGGAAAAGCCUCUAAGCAUCAGGUAACAUCAAAUCGUACCCCAAACCGACACAGGUGGUCAGGUAGAGAAUACCAAGGCGCUUGAGAGAACUCGGGUGAAGGAACUAGGCAAAAUGGUGCCGUAACUUCGGGAGAAGGCACGCUGAUAUGUAGGUGAAGCGACUUGCUCGUGGAGCUGAAAUCAGUCGAAGAUACCAGCUGGCUGCAACUGUUUAUUAAAAACACAGCACUGUGCAAACACGAAAGUGGACGUAUACGGUGUGACGCCUGCCCGGUGCCGGAAGGUUAAUUGAUGGGGUCAGCGCAAGCGAAGCUCUUGAUCGAAGCCCCGGUAAACGGCGGCCGUAACUAUAACGGUCCUAAGGUAGCGAAAUUCCUUGUCGGGUAAGUUCCGACCUGCACGAAUGGCGUAAUGAUGGCCAGGCUGUCUCCACCCGAGACUCAGUGAAAUUGAACUCGCUGUGAAGAUGCAGUGUACCCGCGGCAAGACGGAAAGACCCCGUGAACCUUUACUAUAGCUUGACACUGAACAUUGAGCCUUGAUGUGUAGGAUAGGUGGGAGGCUUUGAAGUGUGGACGCCAGUCUGCAUGGAGCCGACCUUGAAAUACCACCCUUUAAUGUUUGAUGUUCUAACGUAGACCCCUAAUCGGGGUUGCGGACAGUGUCUGGUGGGUAGUUUGACUGGGGCGGUCUCCUCCUAAAGAGUAACGGAGGAGCACGAAGGUUGGCUAAUCCUGGUCGGACAUCAGGAGGUUAGUGCAAUGGCAUAAGCCAGCUUGACUGCGAGCGUGACGGCGCGAGCAGGUGCGAAAGCAGGUCAUAGUGAUCCGGUGGUUCUGAAUGGAAGGGCCAUCGCUCAACGGAUAAAAGGUACUCCGGGGAUAACAGGCUGAUACCGCCCAAGAGUUCAUAUCGACGGCGGUGUUUGGCACCUCGAUGUCGGCUCAUCACAUCCUGGGGCUGAAGUAGGUCCCAAGGGUAUGGCUGUUCGCCAUUUAAAGUGGUACGCGAGCUGGGUUUAGAACGUCGUGAGACAGUUCGGUCCCUAUCUGCCGUGGGCGCUGGAGAACUGAGGGGGGCUGCUCCUAGUACGAGAGGACCGGAGUGGACGCAUCACUGGUGUUCGGGUUGUCAUGCCAAUGGCACUGCCCGGUAGCUAAAUGCGGAAGAGAUAAGUGCUGAAAGCAUCUAAGCACGAAACUUGCCCCGAGAUGAGUUCUCCCUGACUCCCUGAGAGUCCUGAAGGAACGUUGAAGACGACGACGUUGAUAGGCCGGGUGUGUAAGCGCAGCGAUGCGUUGAGCUAACCGGUACUAAUGAACCGUGAGGCUUAACCUUACAACGCCGAAG
This 2925-nucleotide ribosomal RNA is filed under the name Escherichia coli. RNAcentral's name for it is "23S ribosomal RNA". It matches the Rfam family "Bacterial large subunit ribosomal RNA". Lineage: Bacteria; Pseudomonadati; Pseudomonadota; Gammaproteobacteria; Enterobacterales; Enterobacteriaceae. The record is from RNAcentral.